Molecule: ribosomal RNA, 497 nt
Filed under: uncultured bacterium
Lineage: Bacteria
Description: partial 16S ribosomal RNA
Rfam family: Bacterial small subunit ribosomal RNA
Source: RNAcentral
GAUGAACGCUGGCGGCGUGCCUAAUACAUGCAAGUCGAGCGAACACACGAUGAGCUUGCUCCUCUGACGUUAGCGGCGGACGGGUGAGUAACACGUGGAUAACCUACCUCUAAGACUGGGAUAACUUCGGGAAACAGGUGCUAAUAAUGGAUAAUAUAUUGAACCGCAUGGUUCAAUAGUGCAAGACGGUUUUCGUGUCUCUUAUAGAUGGAUUCGCGCCGCAUUAGCUAGUUGGUAAGGUAACGGCCUACCAAGGCGACGAUGCGUAGCCGACCUGAGAGGGUGAUCAGCCACACUGGAACUGAGACACGGUCCAGACUCCUACGGGAGGCAGCAGUGGGGAAUCUUCCACAAUGGGCGAAAGCCUGACGGAGCAACGCCGCGUGAGUGAUGAAGGUCUUCGGAUCGUAAAACUCUGUUAUUGGGGAAGAACAAAUGUGGAAGUAACUAUGCACGUCUUGACGGUACCUAAACAGAAAGCCACGGCUAACUACGUG